RNAcentral lists this ribosomal RNA (123 nucleotides) under Pteropus vampyrus (large flying fox). The record is from RNAcentral. Lineage: Eukaryota; Metazoa; Chordata; Mammalia; Chiroptera; Pteropodidae.
CUUUAAAGUUAAGUUCAUAUGUAUCUACAUGCCCGAUCCCGUCUGAUCUCGGAAGCUAAGCAGGGUCGGGCCUGGUUAGUACCCGGAUGGGAGACCACCUAGGAAGACCAGGUGCUGUAGGGG